Molecule: ribosomal RNA, 344 nt
Filed under: uncultured fungus
Lineage: Eukaryota; Fungi
Description: SSU rRNA
Rfam family: Eukaryotic small subunit ribosomal RNA
Source: RNAcentral
GGUUCAUUCAAAUUUCUGCCCUAUCAACUUUCGACGGCUGGGUCUUGGCAAGCCAUGGUGACAACGGGUAACGGAGGGUUAGGGCUCGACCCCGGAGAAGGAGCCUGAGAAACGGCUACUACAUCCAAGGAAGGCAGCAGGCGCGCAAAUUACCCAAUCCCGACCGGGGAGGUAGUGACAAUAAAUACUGAUACAGGGCUCUUUUGGGUCUUGUAAUUGGAAUGAGUACAAUUUAAAUCCCUUAACGAGGAACAAUUGGAGGGCAAGUCUGGUGCCAGCAGCCGCGGUAAUUCCAGCUCCAAUAGCGUAUAUUAAAGUUGUUGAGGUUAAAAAGCUCGUAGUUG